RNAcentral lists this ribosomal RNA (713 nucleotides) under Vibrio sp. 14H04. Its description in RNAcentral is "bacterial SSU rRNA". It matches the Rfam family "Bacterial small subunit ribosomal RNA", at positions 33 to 735 of the family's 1533-position model. Lineage: Bacteria; Pseudomonadati; Pseudomonadota; Gammaproteobacteria; Vibrionales; Vibrionaceae. The record is from RNAcentral.
ACGCUGGCGGCAGGCCUAACACAUGCAAGUCGAGCGGUAACAGGAAGUAGCUUGCUACUUCGCUGACGAGCGGCGGACGGGUGAGUAAUGCCUGGGAAUAUGCCUUGAUGUGGGGGAUAACUAUUGGAAACGAUAGCUAAUACCGCAUAAUGCCUACGGGCCAAAGAGGGGGAUCUUCGGACCUCUCGCGUCAAGAUUAGCCCAGGUGGGAUUAGCUAGUUGGUGGGGUAAAGGCUCACCAAGGCGACGAUCCCUAGCUGGUCUGAGAGGAUGAUCAGCCACACUGGAACUGAGACACGGUCCAGACUCCUACGGGAGGCAGCAGUGGGGAAUAUUGCACAAUGGGGGAAACCCUGAUGCAGCCAUGCCGCGUGUAUGAAGAAGGCCUUCGGGUUGUAAAGUACUUUCAGCAGUGAGGAAGGUGGUAGUGUUAAUAGCAMMAUCAUUUGACGUUAGCUGCAGAAGAAGCACCGGCUAACUCCGUGCCAGCAGCCGCGGUAAUACGGAGGGUGCGAGCGUUAAUCGGAAUUACUGGGCGUAAAGCGCAUGCAGGCGGUCUGUUAAGCAAGAUGUGAAAGCCCGGGGCUCAACCUCGGAACAGCAUUUUGAACUGGCAGACUAGAGUCUUGUAGAGGGGGGUAGAAUUUCAGGUGUAGCGGUGAAAUGCGUAGAGAUCUGAAGGAAUACCGGUGGCGAAGGCGGCCCCCUGGACA